Molecule: small RNA, 519 nt
Filed under: uncultured Glomus
Lineage: Eukaryota; Fungi; Glomeromycota; Glomeromycetes; Glomerales; Glomeraceae
Description: SSU rRNA
Rfam family: Eukaryotic small subunit ribosomal RNA
Source: RNAcentral
AGCAGCCGCGGUAAUUCCAGCUCCAAUAGCGUAUAUUAAAGUUGUUGCAGUUAAAAAGCUCGUAGUUGAAUUUCGGGGUCAGUAGGUCGGUCGUGCCACAGGUAUGCACUGGUCUCACUGAUUCCUCCUUCCUGAUGAACCGUAAUGCCAUUAAUUUGGUGUUGCGGGGAGACUGGACUGUUACUUUGAAAAAAUUAGAGUGUUUAAAGCAGGCUAACGCUUGAAUACAUUAGCAUGGAAUAACGGAAUAGGACGUUCGAUCUUAUUUUGUUGGUUUCUAAGAUUGACGUAAUGAUUAAUAGGGAUAGUUGGGGGCAUUAGUAUUCAAUUGUCAGAGGUGAAAUUCUUGGAUUUAUUGAAGACUAACUACUGCGAAAGCAUUUGCCAAGGAUGUUUUCAUUAAUCAAGAACGAAAGUUAGGGGAUCGAAGACGAUCAGAUACCGUCGUAGUCUUAACCAUAAACUAUGCCGACUAGGGAUCGGAUGAUGUUAAUUUUUUAAUGACUCAUUCGGCGUCCG